Molecule: ribosomal RNA, 253 nt
Filed under: uncultured bacterium
Lineage: Bacteria
Description: partial 16S ribosomal RNA
Rfam family: Bacterial small subunit ribosomal RNA
Source: RNAcentral
UACGGAGGGGGCUAGCGUUGUUCGGAAUUACUGGGCGUAAAGCGUGCGCAGGCGGCGCCGCAAGUCGAGUGUGAAAUCCCCGAGCUUAACUUGGGAAUUGCGCUCGAAACUACGGUGCUGGAGUGUGGCAGAGGGAGGUGGAAUUCCACGUGUAGCGGUGAAAUGCGUAGAGAUGUGGAGGAACACCGAUGGCGAAGGCGGCUUCUUGGGCCGUUCCUGACGCUGAUGCGCGAAAGCCAGGGGAGCGAACGGG